Molecule: long non-coding RNA, 20609 nt
Filed under: Hordeum vulgare
Lineage: Eukaryota; Viridiplantae; Streptophyta; Magnoliopsida; Poales; Poaceae
Description: long non-coding RNA (HVUL_LNC000103)
Source: RNAcentral
ACAUGGUAUGAUUGUUGGGGUUGCUGGAAAAUUAUUUGUUGUGGUUGUUGGGGAAAUGGUUGUUGUGGUAGUUUGGGGAAUGGUUGUUUCGGUUGCAGAGGGAAUGGUUGUUGUGGUUGCUGCGAGAAUGAUUGUUGUGGUUGCUGCGCAAUUGGUUGUUGGGGCUGCAGAAAUGGUUGUUGUGGUUGCCAGGGGAAUGGUUGUUGUGGUUGCAGGGGAAAUGGUUGUUGAGGCUGGGGAAAUGGUUGUUGUGGUUGCGAGGGGAAUGUUUGUUUGGGCUGAGGAAAAGGUUGUUGUGGUUGCUGGGGGAAUGGUUGUUGUGGUUGCUGGGGUAUUGUUUGUUGUGGUUGCUGGGUGAAUGGUUGUUGUGGUUGGUAGGGAAUUGGUUGUUGGGGCUGGGGAAAUGGUUGUUGUGGUUGCGAGGGGAAUGGUUGUUAGGGCUGAGGAAACGGUUGUUGUGGUUGCUGGAGGAAUGGUUGUUGUGGUUUCUCGGGAAUUAUUUGUUGUGGUUGUUGGGGGAAUGGUUGUUGUGGUUGCUGGAGAAUUGGUUCUUGGGGCUGCGGAAAUGGUUGUUGUGGUUGCCAGGGGGAUGGUUGUUGGGGCCGAGGAAGAGGUUGUUGGGGUGGUUGGGGGAAUGGUUGUUGUGGUUGUAGGGGGGUUGGUAUUUGAUAUUNNNNNNNNNNNNNNNNNNNNNNNNNNNNNNNNNNNNNNNNNNNNNNNNNNNNNNNNNNNNNNNNNNNNNNNNNNNNNNNNNNNNNNNNNNNNNNNNNNNNCCACCCUCUCGUGGGUCUUUGCUUCAUAAAUCAUUAUAAUUCCCAUAAAGAAUUCACAAAAAAAAUUGUCCAAUUCCGAGAACUUUUAUUUAUGCAUAAAAUAUAUUGAAGGUAGUUCCGUAGAAAAGAGCACCAGUGCGGGUUAGUUUUAUUCAAAUCAUGCAAAUUAGAGUCCAAAAAAAGAACAAAAGUGUUUGGAAAAGUAGAUACAUUGGAGACGUAUCAGCCAUCGACAAGGAGGAACACCCUUGUACUAUCAUUAUGCUCUGAUAAUUGUUAUGUCAUGCAGAUGGCUAGGCUGAGGCACUGCAUAUGUAGGGUGAAGAUGGUUUAGAUAUGAAAUCAUGUCCCUCAGGCCCUAGUAGCAAGCAUUAAGCAUGGCAAGGUCACAGGAACAUCAAUCUCAUAACAUAGUGGAUACUAGGGAUCAAGCCAUAUCAAAAUAACUCGAUUACAAGACAAAUAUUAUCCAAUCCAGCUAGCAUACAAAGGAAUUACUCACUCCCGUUGAAGAGCAUCAAGAUGGUGUUGAUAGAGAAGGGUUGGUCAUGACGACAAUGAUGAAUCUCCCUCUCCGGAGCCCCAAACUGACUCCAGAUCAUCCCUCUUGUGGACGAACGGGAGGUGGCAACAGCUCCAUCUCAUAGAACGCAAUGAAAACUUCUCUCCUACUUUUCUCCGGAAAUAAGAAUUUAUAGGAUUGGAAUUAGGGUAUGUGGAGCCACGAGGUGGUCACAAGCCAAGAGGGCGCGCUUAGGGGGGUGGUCGCACCCUGUUUUUCUUGGCACCAACAGNNNNNNNNNNNNNNNNNNNNNNNNNNNNNNNNNNNNNNNNNNNNNNNNNNNNNNNNNNNNNNNNNNNNNNNNNNNNNNNNNNNNNNNNNNNNNNNNNNNNAGAGGCAAGACCUAGAUUAUGUGUGUAGUGUAAAGUAAAAAAAAUGACUCAUCAUUCAUUAUGGAUCAUGACUUACAACCAGAUGAUAUUUGCAAAAAAAACAACUAUGUUGAGCAAUCCAAAAUCACACAAGUAAAGUAGUACCACCAAACACAACAUACCAAACGAUUAGUUGGAUAAUCUUAGGAGUACUUUUUCGAAAAGCAAGGGCAAGGAUGGAAUUAAACCAUACCAUGAUAGCUAUAAAUAAACAUGCACCAUCAUGGUUACCUUCCAUCAUCCAAACUUUACACACCAAGAUCAGAAACAUCUAUUCCAAGCAAGCAAUAGUAACCAAAAAUCCAACAUGAAGACGUUCCUCACCUUUGUCCUCCUUGCCAUGGCGAUGAGCAUCGUCACUACCGCUGGGCAGCUAAACCCUAGCUACCAAGAGUUGCAAUCACCACAACAACCAUUUCUGAAACAACAAUCAUAUCUGCAGCAACCAUAUCCACAACAACCAUAUCUACCGCAGCAACCAUUCCCCACACCCCAACAAUUUUUCCCCUAUCUACCACAGCAAACAUUUCCCCCAUCCCAACAACCAAACCCCCUACAACCACAACAACCAUUCCCCCUGCAACCCCAACCACCACAACAACCUUUUCCUCAGUCCCAACAACCAUUCACCUGGCAACCACAACAACCUUUUUCCCAGCCCCAACAACCAAUUCCCCAGCAACCACAACAACCGUUCCCCUAGCAACCACAACAAAUAAUUCCCCAACAACCACAACAACCAUUCUCCCUGCAACCCCAACAACCACAUCAACCUUUUCCUCGGCCCCAACAACCAUUCCCCUGGCAACCACAACAACCAUUUUCCCGGCCCCACCAACCAAUUCCCCAGGAACCACAACAACCAUUCCCCCAGCAACCACAACAAAUAGUACCCCAGCAACCACAACAACCAUUCCCCCAGCAACCACAACAACCUUNNNNNNNNNNNNNNNNNNNNNNNNNNNNNNNNNNNNNNNNNNNNNNNNNNNNNNNNNNNNNNNNNNNNNNNNNNNNNNNNNNNNNNNNNNNNNNNNNNNNGAGGUGUAAACGAUAGAUGUGAAUAGACCUGGGGGCCGUAGUGUUUACUAGUGGCUUCUCUCAUGAAAGCAAGUAGACGGUGGGUGAACAAAUUACUGUCGAGCAAUUGAUAGAACCGCGCAAAGUCGUGACAAUAUCUAUGCAAUGAUUAUAUCUAUAGGCAUCAUGUCCAAAACAAGUAGACCGAUACUUUCUGCAUCUACUACUAUUACUCCACACAUCGACCGCUAUCCAGCAUGCAACUAGUGUAUUAAGUCCAUAAGAACAGAGUAAUGCCUUAAGCAAGAUGACAUGAUGUAGAGGGAUAAUCUCAAACCAAUGAUAAAAACCCCGUCUUUUUACCCUUGAUGGCAACUACUUGAUGUGUGCCUUGCUACCCCUACUGUCACUGGGAAAGGUCACCACAUGGCAGAACCCAAAACCAAGCACUUCUCCCAUUGCAAGAAUCAUAGAUCUAGUUGGCCAAACAAAACCCAAGACUUCGAGAGACUUACAAGGAUAUCAAAUCAUGCAUAUAAGAAAUCAACAAAUACUCAAAUAUAUAUCAUAGAUAAUCUGAUCACAAAUCCACAAUUCAUCGGAUCUCGACAAACACACCGCCAAAGAAGAUUACAUCGGAUAGAUCUCCAUGAAGAUCAUGGAGAACUUUGUAUUGAAGAUCCAAGAGAGAUAAGAAGCCAUCUAGCUACUAACUACGGAUCUGUAGGUCUGAAGUGAACUACUCAUGAGUCAUUGGAGGGGCGAUGAUGAUGAUGAAGAAGCCCUCCAACUCCANNNNNNNNNNNNNNNNNNNNNNNNNNNNNNNNNNNNNNNNNNNNNNNNNNNNNNNNNNNNNNNNNNNNNNNNNNNNNNNNNNNNNNNNNNNNNNNNNNNNUCACAGGCCCCCUGAUCUUCUUCCGUUCGGGAAAAAAUCAUUUCGGGGAUUUUAUUCCGUUUGGAGUCCGUUCUAAAAUCAGAUCUAAAAAGAGCCAAAAAGACAGAAAAAGAGGAAUUGGCAAUUGGCACUGAAUUAAUAAGUUAGUCCCAAAAAAAUAUAAAAGGUACAUAAAACAUCCAAAGAUGACAAGAUAACAGCAUGAAACCAUCAAAAAUUAUAGAUACGUUUGAGACGUAUCAAGCAUCCCCAAGCUUAACUCCUGCUCGUCCUCGAGUAGGGAAGUGAUAAAGAAUGAAUUUUUGAUGCUUUCNNNNNNNNNNCUUAUGUGACGUGAAAGUUCAGAUCCAUUAGAUUCAAAACAAUAGUUUGCUAUUGACGUGGAAACAAUAAUACUUCAAGCAAACUAGCAAGGUAAUCAUGAACUUUCAAAAUAACAAGGCCAAAAGAAAGUUAUCCCUACAAAAGCAUAUAGUCUGGCUAUGCUCUAUCAUCAUUGCACAACGAAUUUAAAUCAUGCACAACCCCGGUAUUGGCCAAGUAAUUGUUUCACACCUUUACUUUCUCAAACCUUUUCAACUCUCACGCAAUACAUGAGCGUGAGCCAUGGUUUAUAGCACUAUAGAUGGUGUGGAGUGUGGUGGAGGUUGCAAGACAAAAAAGGAGAAGAUAGUCACAUUAACUAGGCAUAUCAAUGAGCUAUGGAGAUGCUCAUAAAUAGAUAUCAAUGUGAAUGAGUAGGGAUUUCCAUACAAAUGAUGCACUAGAGCUACGAGUAAGUGAAACCUCUUAAAGAAAACUAGUGUGUGUGCAUCCAACUUGCUUGCUCACGAAGACCUAAGGCAAUUUUGAGGAAGCCUAUCAUUGGAAUAUACAAGCCAAGUUAUAUAACGAAAAUUUCCCACUAGCUAUAUGGUGGUGACAGAACGAGAGACUCUCAAUCAUGAAGAUCAUGGUGCUUAAUAUGCACAAGUGUGGAAAAAGUGGUAGCAUUGUCCCUUCUCUCUUUUUCUCUCAUUUAUUUUGGUGGGCUCUUUGGCCUCUUUUUUUGGUUGGCUUCUUUGGCCUCUUUUAUUUCCUCACAUGGGACAAUGCUUCAUUAAUGAUGAUCAUAACACUUUCAACUCAAAACUUAGAGCAACAAUGACUCUAUAUGGAAUGCCUUCGGUAGUGUACCGUGGCAAUGAUCUAGCAUGGCAUAGACAUUAAUGGAAACAUUAUGCUAGCUAUCUUGCGAUCAUGCAAUGGAAAUGUAGACGUGGUGGCACAUGUCAUGGUGGUAGUUGCAUGGCAAUAUAUCUCGGAAUGACUUUGAAAGAGCAUGGUAGUUAGGUAUGGUGGAUGUUCUGAUGGAGGCUAAUGGUGGGUUUUGUGCACCGGCGGAAGUUGCACGGCACUAAAGAAGAUAGUGAUGGUGGAAGGUGAAAGUGCAUCUUAACCAUGGACUCAACAUUAGUCAUGAAGAACUCAUAUACUUGUUGCAAAAGUUUUAUUAGUAAUUGAAACAAAGAAUUCAACGCAUACUCCUAGGGGAAGGGUUGGUAGGUAUAAACCAUCGCNNNNNNNNNNUGCAAAGGAUGACAAUCAAUAGACUAAUCAUGCUCAGAUUUCAUCACAUAGCGGUUCACCAUACGUGCAUGCUACGGGAAUCACUAACUUCAACACAAGUAUUUCUAGAUCCAGAACACCUUACUAGCAUGACUUUAAUAUUACCAUAACCACAACUCAAAACUAAUUGAGAUAAAUCAAACUUCUCUAACUAUUCAAUGCACAUGAAGGUGGAAGUUUUCGUAUCCCUUUGGAUAACUACCCGUUUUGAGUCUACUUUCAAAACAUAGAUACACUACCAAGCCACGCACCGCUGUGCUCUAAAAUAUAUAAGUGAUGCACACAGAGCAAAAGUAUCUAGCUCAAAAGAUAUAAGUGAAGCACAUGUGAGCUGAAUUGUCUACCAAAAGAUAUAAGUGAAGCUCGACAAAAUCACAGUGAGUGCAUGUCUCUCUCUCUCUAGGUGUGCAGCAAGGAUGAUUGUGACACAACAAAAAUAAAAGACUCCUACGAUACAAGACACUCCAAGCAAAAACACAUAACAUGUGGUGAAUAAAAAUAUAGCCCCAAGUAACAUUAUCGAUGGAUUGAAGACGAGAGAGGGGAUGCCUUCCCGGGGCAUCCCCAAGCUUAGGCUUUUACGGAAUCCUUGAAUCUCUUGGGGUGCCUUGGGCAUCCCCAAGCUUGAGCUCUUUCCACUCAUUAUCUCUUUCACCAUAAGAACUUCACCCAAAACUUGAAAACUUCACAACACGAAACUUAAACAGAAACUCAUGAUAACAUUAGUAUGAGAAAGCAAACCACCAGUUCCUUAGGUACUGUAGAAAACUUAAAUUAUACAUAGGCUUAUGUUGGGUUACUGUAUUUUCAAUCUUCCAUGGCUAAUACCCCCCAAUACUAUCCAUAGUUUCAUCAAAAUAAGCAACCAACACAACAAAAACAGAAUAUGUUAACAGCAGACCAGUCUGUAGCAAUCUGUAUAUUGCGUAUACCUCUGGUACUUCAAAAAUUCUGAAAACUUACGACAGUCUGAAGAAUUUGCAUAGCAAUCAGCAGCAAAAAGAAUGAACUCAAAAGCUCUUACAGAAAAAAAAAUCUUUUCGUGAGCAGAAAGUUUCUGUCUUUUGCAGCAUGACCAAACGAUCAUUCCCAAGACUAAUCAUAACGGUUUUGCUUGGCACAAACGCAAAAAGAAACACAAAAAACACAAUCAUAACAAAAUUAUGAAAGUGUGGAAAACACAAAACAGAAAGAAAAAGGAUAGAUUCGUUGGGUUGCCUCCCAACAAGCGCUUUUGUUUAACGCCCUUAGUUAGGCGAAAGGUGAUGGAAUCACGUAUAGUCAUCUUUGGUGCUCAAACCAUAAGNNNNNNNNNNCCCUCUUCAUAGAUUCAUAAGGCAAUCUUAUUUUAUUUCUAGGAAAGUGCUCCAUGCCCUUCUUUAAAGGAAAUUGAAAUCUAAUGUUCUCUUCCUUCAUAUCGAUGAUAGCACCAAUAGUCCUUUGGAAAGGUCUACCAAGAAUAGUGGGACAUGAAGGGUUGCAAUCUAUGUCAAGUACAAUGAAAUCCACGGGUACAUAGUUCUUAUUUGCAACAAUAAGAACAUCAUCGAUCCUUCCCAUGGGUUUCUUGACAGUAGAAUCCGCAAGAUGCAAAUUAAGAGAACACUCUUCAAUCUCAUGAAAACCAAGAAUAUCACAUAAAGACUUUGGAAUCGCGGAAACACUAGCACCCAAAUCACACAAAGCAUUGCACUCAUAGUUUUUGAUCUUGAUUUUGAUAGUAGGUUCCCACUCAUCAUGAAGUUUUCUAGGUAUAGAGACUUCUAGUUCGAGCUUCUCUUGAAGAGAUUUCAUCAUAGCAUCUACGAUAUGCGCGGGAAAGGCUUUGCUUUGGCUAUAAGCAUUUGGAGAGUUUGCAAUGGAUUGCAUCAAAGAAAUGCAUUCAAACAAGGAGCAAUUAUCAUAAUUGAAUUCCUUGAAAUCCAAAGUGGGAGUUUCAUUACUAUCCAAAAUUUUGACUUCUUCUACUCCACUCUCCACACCUUUAUCAUCAAGAUGGGUGGACUCCGAAUCAUUGGGGCGUUUUUCAACCCAAGUGGAUUCAUAUCCAGGCCCUACAUAAAUAGGUUUGACACACGAAAACAAAGAUUAAAGAGGAGACACACCAAGCACUUUAAGAUCUUCGUGAUUUGCAUCACUAGAACGCACCCUUUUAAACCAUUCAUGCCUAGCGCGAAUUUGGGUGGUUCUUUCUUUGCUCUCAUUCAUGGAGACACGCAUAGCUUUCAAAGUUUCAUCCAAGUUGACCUUGGGAGGAGCGCAUCUAACUUUCAAAGCAUCAAUAUCACAAGACAUCCUAUCAAUGCUCUUAGCCAAAUCGUCAAUUUUGAGUAGUCUUUCCUCUAUGGACGCAUUGCAAAUCUUUUGAGAGUUAAUGAACUCUUUGAUAUUACUCUCUAAAUAAGAGGGUAAUUUGUUGUGAUUUCCAUAAGUGUUGUUGUAGGAACUGCCAUAAUUGUUAGAGGAGUUACUAGGAAAAGGCCUAGGAACAUAGUUUCCUCUAAAAGCAUUGUUGUUGCCAAAAUUGUUCGUACCAACAAAAUUCACGUCCAAACUAGCGUUGCUACUCUCAAUCAAAGAAGAUAGUGGCAAGUCAUUAGGAUCUACGGUAGCAUUUCUACUAGCAACCAAAUUCAUCAACUCGUCCAUCUUAGCACUGAGCGAGUUAAUUUCUUCUAUAGUGUGCACCUUUUUGCUAGCAGGCGACCUUUCAGUGUGCCACUGAGAGUAGUUGGUCAUGAUAUUGUCUAGGAGUUUUGUAGCGUCUCCUAACGUGAUUUCCAUGAACGUUCCACCUGAGGCGGAGUCCAAGAUAUUGCGAGAAGCGAAAUUCAAGCCAGCGUAAAAGAUUUGUAUAAUCAUCCACAAACUCAAGCCAUGAGCGGGACAAUUUCUAAUCAUAAGCUUCAUCCUCUCCCAAGAUUGUGCAACGUGUUCAUGAUCAAGUUGCUUGAAAUUCAUGAUAUCGUUGCGUAAGGAGAUGAUCUUAGCCGGUGGAAAAUACUUGGAUAUGUAAGCAUCUUUGCAAUUAUCCCAAGAAUCGAUACUAUUUUUAGGCAAAGAAGAAAACCAAGUUUUUGCGCGAUCUCGCAACGAGAAAGGANNNNNNNNNNUUUCAACUUAAUCACGUCAUUAUCCACAUCUCUUUUAUUUUGCAUAUCACAAAGCUCAAUGAAGGUAUUGAGAUGGGAUGCGGCAUCUUCACUAGGAAGGCCAGAGAAUUUCUCUUUCAUAACAAGAUUCAGCAAAGCUGCGUUGAUUUCAUACGAUUCCGCACUAGUCGUGGGAGCAAUCAGAGUACUAAUAAAAUCAUUAUUAUUACUGCUCGAGAAGUCGCAAAGUUUGGUGUUUUCAGCCAUGAUGACUUCAACAAACAAACAAGCACACAAGAAAGCAAGAAAACCGGCAAAGGGAAACGACAAAGUCAAAAAAGGCGAAGGAGAAAGGCAAAUGAAAACGACAAAUGUGAAGUGGGGGAGAGGAAAACGAGAGGCAACUGGCAACAAAAGUAAAUUCAAGAGAUGAGUUUGUGAGACCUACUUGGAUAGAUGUUGAUCUCUCCUCCCUGGCAACGGCGCCAGAAAUACUUCUGAUGUCAGCUGUGCUUCCCUGGUAACGGCGACAGGAAUAGUCGUGUCGACGGCACCAGGAAUCCUUCUGCUGCGGCUACGCCUUAAGGGACUUCCUAGGCAAAUAUGCAAAGGAUUUCCCCCGUGGCCUUGGAGCCUUGCGUUGGUGUUCCCUCGAAGCAGAAAGGGUGAUGUAGCAUAGCGGUGGUAAGUAUUUCCCUCAGUUUGAGAACCAAGAUAUCGAUCCAGUGGAGGAGUAUCACAAGAUCCUGCACAAACACAGAAAACUUGCUCCCAAUGCUAUGAAGGGUUGUCAAUCCCUUAUAGAUUGUUCGCCAAGUGAGAACUGAAAGCAACAAAGUAACAAAGAAAAGUAAAAGCGGAGGUGUAAACGAUAGAUGUGAAUAGACCCGGGGGCCGUAGUGUUUACUAGUGGCUUCUCUCAUGAAAGAAAGUAGACGGUAGGUGAACAAAUUACUGUCGAGCAAUUGAUAGAACCGCGCAAAGUCGUGAUGUCAUCUAUGGCAAUGAUUAUAUCUAUAGCCAUCACGUCCAAAACAAGUAGACCGAUACUGUCUGCAUCUACUACUAUUACUCCACACGUCAACCGCUAUCCAGCAUGCAUCUAGUGUAUUAAGUCCAAAAGAACAGAGUAAUGCCUUAAGCAAGAUGACAUGAUGUAGAUGGACAAUCUCAUAUCAACGACAGAGCCCAGCUUGUUACCCUUGAUGGCAACGACUUAAUGUGUGCCUUGCUGCCCCUACUGUCACUGGGAAAGGUCACCACAUGGUAGAGACCAAAACCAAGCACUUCUCCCAUUGCAAGAAUCAUAGAUCUAGUUGGCNNNNNNNNNNNNNNNNNNNNNNNNNNNNNNNNNNNNNNNNNNNNNNNNNNNNNNNNNNNNNNNNNNNNNNNNNNNNNNNNNNNNNNNNNNNNNNNNNNNNUACCCCAGCAACCACAACAACCAUUCCCCCAGCAACCACAACAACCUUUUCCUCAGCCCCAACAACCAUUCCCUUGGCAACCACAACAACCAUUUCUCCAGCCCCUACAACUAUUUCCCUAGCAAGCACAACAACCAUUACCCUUGCAACCACAACUACCAUUUCCGCAGCCCCAACAACCAAUUGGACAGCAACCACAACAACCAUUCCUGCGGCAACCACAACAAAUAAUUCCCCAGCAACCACAACAACCAUUCCCCCUGCAGCCGCAACAACCAUUCCCCGAACAACCACAACAAACACUUCCCCAACAACCACAACAAAUAAUUUCCCAGCAACCACAACAACCAUUCCCCAGCAACCUCAACAACCAUUCCUUCUGCAGCCACACCAACCUCAGCAACCUUAUGCACAACAAGACAUCUAGAGUGAUUUAGCCCUCUUGGGCUAAUGAAGCAAAAAGUUGUAAUACUAGAUGGGUGUAUCAUCGUUUUUUAGUCAAUGAGUGUUCAGUGUAAUGAUGAUAAAUAAAGUGAUGUGCACCAUCAUGUGUAAUCCCGACCUAUACUAGNNNNNNNNNNNNNNNNNNNNNNNNNNNNNNNNNNNNNNNNNNNNNNNNNNNNNNNNNNNNNNNNNNNNNNNNNNNNNNNNNNNNNNNNNNNNNNNNNNNNAUUCUGAGGUUGCCCUCCUGCUAGAUAGAAUUUCCCCCAUCAGAUAGAAUUUCCCCCAUCAGACCAUGACGGAUCAAGUAACAUAAACCACGUGUCUUCCAAUGCCAUAGAUCAAUGGAUGGAGACAAACUUCAUAACACCUAGAAUAAAUGUGUGUAAUAUAGAUUAGUAUAGCAAAAAUGGAUUAAAGCCAGCAGUUAUUAUAAAGUCCUACCAUAUGGAUGGUUAUUGAAUACUCUAAUUAGUAUUGUAAUAGAAUAGAUAGAUGGACAAAUGAACAAAUAAAACAACACAAAAUUUUGAAGAUACAUACCUCAGUUUAGUCUGUGGAGAAGCGGCUAUGAAAUCCAAAGUUNNNNNNNNNNUGAUGGGUGGAAGCAUCCAGCUACACAACACAAUUUGUAAAUACUAGUUGAGCAACACACGAAUCUGAUUGGAAAAAUAAGAGAUGACAAAAACACUGGUUGCAUCUGAGGAGGAACUCUACACAGGCAGAGGCCACGGACAGACACAUGCAACUUCUAAACCUUGCAGCCGUUACACAAAUCCUACCUUGCAGUUGUGACACAGAUCUAUCGAGGACAAAUUCUGAGGUUGCCCUCCUGCUAGAUAGAAUUUCCCCCAUCAGACCAUGACGGAUCAAGUAACAUAAACCNNNNNNNNNNNNNNNNNNNNNNNNNNNNNNNNNNNNNNNNNNNNNNNNNNNNNNNNNNNNNNNNNNNNNNNNNNNNNNNNNNNNNNNNNNNNNNNNNNNNGGCUUUCCUGCCUUGGCCCUCAAGUCCCCUCAUCUUCUUCCGUUCUGGAAAAAAUUAUUUUGGAGAUUUUAUUCCGUUUGGACUCCGUUCCAAAAUCAGAUAUGAAAAGAGUCAAAAACACAGAAAAAACAGGAACUGGCACUUGGCACUGAUUUAAUAAGUUAGUCCCAAAAAAGAUAUAAAAGGUACAUAAAACAUCCAAAGUUGACAAGAUAACAUCAUGAAACCAUCAAAAAUUAUAGAUACGUUUGAGACGUAUCAAGCAUUCCCAAGCUUAACUCCUACUCGUCCUCGAGUAGGGAAGUGAUAAAGAAUGAAUUUUUGAUGCUUUCNNNNNNNNNNGUUAUGUGACGUGAAAGUUCAGAUCCAUUAGAUUCUAAACAAUAGUUUGCUAUUAACGUGGAAACAAUAAUACUUCAAGCAAACUAGCACGGUAAUCAUGAACUUUCAAAAUAGCAAGGCCAAAAUAAAGUUAAACCUACAAAAACAUAUAGUCUGGCUAUGCUCUAUCAUCAUUGCACAACGAAUUUAAAUCAUGCACAACCCCGGUAUUGGCCAAGCAAUACAUGAGCGUGAGCCAUGGUUUUAGAACUAUAAGUGGUGUGGAGUGUGGUGGAGGUUGCAAGAAAAACAAGGAAAAGAUGGUCACAUUAACUAGGCAUAUCAAUGAGCUGUGGAGAUGAUCAUCAAUAGAUAUCAAUGUGAAUGAGUAGGGAUUGCUAUACAAAUGAUGCACUAGAGCUAAGAGUAUGUGAAAGCUCUUAAAGAAAACUAGUGGGUGUGCAUCCAACUUGCUUGCUCACGAAGCCCUAAAGCAAAUUUGAGGAAGCCUAUCAUUGGAAUAUACAAGCCAAGUUAUAUAAUGAAAAUUUCCCACUAGCUAUAUGGUGGUGACAAAAUGAGAGACUCUCAAUCAUGAAGAUCAUGGUGCUUAAUAAGCACAAGUGUGGAAGGAUAGUAGCAUUGUCCCUUCUCUCUUUUUCUCUCAUAUUUUUUUGGUGGGCUCUUGGGCCUCUUUUUUUAAAUUUUGGUGGGCAUCUUUGGCCUCUUUUAUUUCCUCACAUGGGAAAAUGCUCCAUCAAUUAUGAUCAUUACACUUACAACUCAAAACUUAGAACAACGAUGACUCUAUAUGGAAUGCCUUCGGUAGUGUACCGUGGCAAUGAUCUANNNNNNNNNNCAUGCUAGCUAUCUUACGAUCAUGCAAUGGCAAUGUAGACGUGGUGGUACAUGUCAUGGUGGUAGUUGCAUGGCAACAUAUCUCGGAAUGACUUUGAAAAAGCCAUAGUAGGUAGGUAUGGUGGCUGUUUUGAGGGAGGCUAAUGGUGGGUUUUGUGCACCGGCGAAAGUUGCACGGCACUAAGAAGAUAAUGAUGGUGGAAGGUGAAAGUGCAUCUAAACCAUGGACUCAACAUUAAUCAUGAAGAACUCAUAUACUUGUUGCAAAAGUGUUAGUAGUAAUCGAAACAAAGCAUUCAACGCAUACUCCUAGGGGAAGGGUUGGUAGGUAUAAACCAUCGCGCGAUCCCGACCGCCACACAAAGGAUGACAAUCAAUAGACUAAUCAUGCUCAGACUUCAUCACAUUGCGGUUCACCAUACGUGCAUGCUACGGGAAUCACUAACUUCAACACAAGUAUUUCUAGAUCCACAACACCUUACUAGCAGAACUUCAAUAUUGCCACAACCACAACUCAAAAUUGAUUGAGAUGAAUCAAACUUCUCUAACUAUUCAAUGCACAUGAAGGUGGAAGUUUUCAUAUCCCUUUGGAUAACUAUCCCUUUUGAGACUACUUUCAAAGCAUAGAUCAACUACCAAGCCACGCACCGUCGUGCUCUAAAAGAUAUAAGUGAAGCACAUAGAGAAAAAUCAACUAGCUCAAAAGAUAUAAGUGAAGCACAUGUGAGCUGAUUUGUCUACCAAUGGAUAUAAGUGAAGCUCGACAAAAUCACGGUGAGUGCAUGUCUCUCUCUCUAGGUGUGCAGAAAGGAUGAUUGUGACACAACAAAAAUAAAAGACUCCUACGAUACAAGAUGCUCCAAGAAAAACACAUAACAUGUGGUGAAUAAAAAUAUAGCCCCAAGUAACGUUACCGAUGGAUUGAAGACGAAAGAGGGGAUGCCUUCCCGGGGCAUCCCCAAUCUUAGGCUUUUACGGCAUCCUUGAAUCAUCUUGGGGUGCCUUGGGCAUCCCCAAGCUUGAGCUCUUGCCACUCUUUAUCUUUUUGUCCAUAAGAACUUCACCCAAAACUUGAAAACUUCACAACACGAAACAUAAACAGAAACUCGUGAUAACAUUAGUAUAAGAAAGCAAACCACCACUUCCUUCGGUAAUGUAGCAAACAUAAUUUCUACUUAUGUUGAUGUUGGGUUACUAUAUUUUCAAUCUUCUAAGGCUAAUACCCACCGAUACUAUCCAUAGUUUCAUCAAAAUAAGCAACCAACUCAACAAAAACAGAAUCUGUUAACAGCAAACCAGUCUGUAGCAAUUUGUAUACUCCGUAUACUUCUGGUAAUUCCAAAAUUCUGAAAAAUUACGAAAGUCUGAAGAAUUUGCGUAGAAAUCAGAAGCAAAAAAAAUUAACUCAAAAUAUCUUACAUAAAAAAAUGAAAAUUCUUUUCGUGAGCAGAAAGUUUCUGUCUUUUCUAGCAUGACCAAACGAUCAUCCCCAAGACUGAUCAUAACGGUUUUGCUUGGCACAAACGCAAAAAGAAACACAAAAAACACAAUCAUAACAAAAUUAUGAAAGUGUGGAAAACACAAAACAGAAAGAAAAAGGAUAGAUUCGUUGGGUUGCCUCCCAACAAGCACUAUUGUUUAACGCCCUUAGCUAGUCAAAAGGUGAUGGAAUCACGUAUAGUCAUCUUUGGUGCUCAAACCAUAAGUAGUGUGAUCAUUUAUCAUCUUAAGAUCUUCAUAUUUAUUGGAUGACUCACCACUAGCUUUAGGAACAAAAACAGUCUUGAUGGUCUUUUUGAGAGUGAGAUUUGGAGUAUUUUGCACAGCGGCAAAAGCGGAACCCAAGUUGGUUACGACAUCCUCUAGUUUACCAAUUCUAGAGGAAUCAUUAACUAUGGGUUCCUUCUCCCUUAAAUUUUUCAAGAACAUUCCCACUUUGGAUCCAUACUGAGUAAUUUGAUUGUGGAACUUUCUAUCCAAACUCUCAAUAAGUUCAACUGUAGCAAUUUUUUUAUCAAUAGCGUCAAGCCUUUUCAUCACGUGUUCCAAGGUCAAGGUAGUUUAAUUAAUCAUGAGCGGGGGUGAGCCAACCAAAUUCAUGAUAGCUCCAUAAGAGUCAAAGGUAUGGCUCCCCAAAAAAUUCCCGCCUACGAUGGUAUCAAGUAUAUACCUAUUCCAAGGAGAGAUUCCAACAUAAAAACUGCGAAGAAGAAUGGUAGUGGAUUGCUUACGAGUAGAUCUACUUUGAGCAUUGCAAAUCCGGUACCAAGCGUCCUUUAAAUUUUCUUCCUCAUUUUGCCUGAAAUUGAGAACUUCGUUCUCAGGGGUAUCGUUUGGAGUAGUGGGUCUAGCCAUUGAUGGACUAUCCCACACACAAACGAGCAGAAAGUAAGCGAGUGAAGCGAGCAAAAGAGAACGGCAAAGGAAGACGGCAAAAAGUCAAAAGGAAAUGGCAAAAGGGGAAAGACAAAAGAAAACGGCAAAUGUGAAGUGGGGGAGAGGAAAACGAGAGGCAACUGGCAAAAAAGGUAAAUACAAGAGAUGAUUUUGUGAGACCUACUUGGAUAGACUCUCCUUCCCCGGCAACAGCGCCAGAAAUACUUCUACUACUGCAAAAAAAGACCUUCCAACGGCGCCAGAAACAAGCGUGCUGACAGGAAACUAUUCUUGUCUUGAUACUCCUGAGCAACGGCACCAGGAAUCCUUCUGCUACGGCUACGCCUUUAGGGACUUCCUUGGCAAAUAUGCAAAGGAUUCCCCCGUGGCCUUGGAGCCUUGCGUUGGUGUUCCCUCGAAGCGGAAAGGGUGAUGUAGCAGAGCGGUGGUAAGUAUUUCCCUCAGUUUUGAGAACCAAGGUAUCUAUCCAGUGAAGGAUUGUCACAAGUACCUGCACAAACACAAAGAGCUUGCACCCAACGCUAUGAAGGGGUUGUCAAUCCCUUAUAGAUUGUUUGCCAAGUGAGAACUGAAAGCAAAAAAGAACCAAAGCAAAGUAAAAGCAAAAUUGGAAACGAUAGGUGUGCAUAGACCCGGGGGCCGUAGUGUUUAUGAAAGCAAGUAGACGGUGGAUGAACGAAUUACUGUCGAGCAAUUGAUAGAACCGCGCAAAGUCGUGACGUUAUCUAUGGCAAUGAUUAUAUCUAUAGGCAUCACAUCCAAAACAAGUAGACCGAUACUUUUUGCAUCUACUACUAUUACUCCACACGUCGACCGCUAUCCAGCAUGCAUCUAGUGUAUUAAGUUCAUGAGAAUAGAGUAACCCCUUAAGCGAGAUGACAUGAUGUAGAUGGACAAUCUCAUAUCUACAAUAAAAGCCCAUCUUGUUACCCUUGAUGGCAACAACACGAUGUGUGCCUUGCUGCCCCUUCUGUCACGGGAAAGUUCACCACACGGUAUGAACCCAAAACCAAGCACUUCUCCCAUUGCAAGAAUCAUAGAUCUAGUUGGCCAAACAAAACCCAAGACUUGGAGAGACUUACGAGGAUAUCAAAUCAUGCAUAUAAGAAAACAGUAAAGACUCAAAUAUAUAUCAUAGAUAAUCUGAUCACAAAUCCACAGUUCAUCGGAUCUCGACGAACAUACCGCCAAACAGGAUUACAUCGGACAGAUCUCCAUGAAGAUCAUGGAGAACUUUGUAUUGAAGAUCCAAGAGAGAGAAGAAGCCAUCUAGCUACUAACUACGGACCCGUAGGUCUGAAGUGAACUACUCACGAGUCAUUGAAAGAGCGAUGAUGUUGAUGUAGAGCCCUCCAACUCCAAAGUCCCCUCCGGCAGGGCACCGGGAAGGGUCUNNNNNNNNNNCUCGCGGACACGGAAGCUUGCGGCGGCGGAAAAGUGUGUUCGUGGAUUCUCCUAUUUUUUCUGUAUUUUAGGGAAUAUAUAGGCGAAGGAGCUAGGUCAGGGGGCGCCAGGGAGGCCACAAGCCUGGUAGCCGCCGCCCCCCUGGUGGCGGCUACAGGGCUUGUGGGUCCCCUGUGGCUCUCCUGCCUUGGCCCUCAAGUCCCCUGAUCUUCUUCCGUUCUGGAAAAUUUUAUUUCGGAGAUUUUAUUCCGUUUGGACUCUGUUCCAAAAUCAGAUAUGAAAAGAGUUAAAAAACAGAAAAAACAGGAACUGGCACUUGGCACUGAAUUAAUAAGUUAGUCCCAAAAAAGAUAUAAAAGGUACAUAAAACAUCCAAAGCUGACAAGAUAACAUCAUGAAACCAUCAAAAAUUAUAGAUACAUUUGAGACGUAUCAGUGGCCGCCGCUCCGUGUCGUAGAUCACAAUGGAAACUUCUCUUUGAUUUUUUGCUAAAUAUGCGAAUUUAUAGGACUAGAGAUAGGGUUGGGCGAGCCUCGUGGAGCCCACCACACAACAGGGUGCGACCUAGGGGGCGGCCUCACCAUGUUGCCUCGUGGCCAUGAGGAACACACCCCCCUCUGGCGCGUCUUUGCUUCAUAAUUCAUUAUAAUUGCUAGAAAAAAUUCACAAUGUUUUUUGUCCAAUUCCAAGAACUAUUAUUGAUGCACAAAAAUAACACCAAGGUAGUUCUGCUGAAAACAGCAUCAGUGCGGGUUAGUUUCAUUUAAAUCAUGCAAAUUAGAGUCCAAAACAUGAGCAAAAGUGUUUAUACAAGUAGAUACGUUGGAGAAGUAUCAGCCAUUGACAAGUAGGAACACCCGUGUACUGUCAGAAUGCUUUGAUAAUUGUUACGUGAUGUGGACGGCUAGGCUAAGGCACUACAUAUGUAGGGUGAAGAUGGUUCACAUAUGAAAUCAUGGCCCUCGGGCCCUAGUGGCAAGCAUUAAGCAUGGUAAGGUCAUAGGAACACUAUCACAGAACAUAGUGGAUACUAGGGAUCAAGAAAUAUCAAAAUAACUCGAUAACAUGACAAAUAUCGUCCAAUCCCAUCACCGUCCAGCUAGCAUACAAAGUAAGUACUCACUCCCGGUGGUGAGCAUUACGAUGGUCUUGAUGGAGAAGGAUUGGUGAUGACGACGGCAAUUAAUCUCCCUCUUCAGACCCUAAACGGACUUCAGAUCAUCCCCCUUGAAGAACAAUAGGAGCUGGCAGCGGCUCUGUCUCGUAGAACACAAUGAAAACUUCUCUGCUACUUUUCACCGGAAAUAGGAAUUUAUAGGAUUGGAAUUAGGGUAUAUGGAGCCACGAGGUGGUCACAAGCCAAGAGGGCACGCCUGGGGGGGGGGGGGGGGNNNNNNNNNNNNNNNNNNNNNNNNNNNNNNNNNNNNNNNNNNNNNNNNNNNNNNNNNNNNNNNNNNNNNNNNNNNNNNNNNNNNNNNNNNNNNNNNNNNNCGAAAGCAAAGUGUUUGUUUCUAGAAACGGAUCCUUUCUCGAGGAAAGGUUUCUCUCGAAAGAAUUGAGUGGGAGGGUGGUAGAACUUGAUGAGGUUAUUGAACCAUCACUUCAACCAGUGUGUAGCAGGGCGCAGGAAGUUGUUCCCGUGGCGCCUACACCAAUUGAAGUGAAAGCUAAUGAUGGUGAUCAUCGAGCAUCGGAUCAAGUUACUACAAACCUCUUAGGUUGACAAGGUCGCGUACUACUGCAGAGUGGUACGGUAACCCUGUCUUGGAGGUCAUGUUGUUGAGCAACAGUGAACCUACGAGUUAUGGAGAAAGCAAUGGUGGGCCCCGAUUCUGAAAAAUGGCUGGAAGCCAUGAAAUCCGAGAGAGGAUCCAUGUAUGAAAACAAAGUGUAGACUUUGGAAGAACUACUUGAUGGUCAUAGGACUAGUGAGUAAAGAUGGAUCAUUAAAAGGAAGACAGAUGAUGAUAGUGAUAAGUCACUAUUAAGAAAAGCUCGACUUGUCGCAAAGAUGUUUCUGACAAGAUCAAACAGUUGACUAUGAUGAGACUUUCUCACUCGUAGCGAUGCUGAAAGUCUGUUAGAAUUAUGUUAGUAGUUGCUGCAUUAUUUAUGAAAUAUUGCACAUAGGAUGUCAAAACAUUGUUUCCUCGACGGUUUCCUUGAGCAAACAUUGUAUGUGAUACAACCAGAAGGUUUUGUCGAUCCUAAAGAUACUAGCAAGUAUGCAAGCUCCAGUGAUCCUUCAAUGGACUGGUGCAAGCAUCUCGGAGUUAGAAUAUACACUUUGAUGAGAUGAUCAAAGAUUUUGGGUGUGUACAAGGUUUAUGAGAAACUUGUAUUUCCAAAGAAGUGAGUGGGAGCACUAUAGAAUUUCUGAUAGGAAUAUGUGGUUGACAUAUUGUGGAUCAGAAGUAAUGUAGAAUUUCUGUAAACCAUACAAGGUUGUUUGAAAGAAGUUUUCAAAGGAGUACCUGGAUUACGCUACUUGAACGUUGAGCAUCUAUGGAGAUAGAUCGAAAGCGCUUAAUAGAAGUUUCAACAAGAUGCAUGCCUUGACAAGUUUUUGAAAGAGUUCAAAAUAGAUCAACAAAGAAGGACUUCUUGGUUGCGUUAUGAGGUGUGAAUUUGAGUAAGACUCAAAAGCCGACCCCGGCAGAAUAAAGAGAAUAGACGAAGGUCGUCUUCUAUGCCUUGGCCGUAGAAUCUGAAGUAUGCCAUGCUGGGUACCGUACCUGAUGUGUGCCUUGACUCAAAGUCUGUUGAGAGGUAGAGAGAGUGAUCCAUGAUUGAAUCACUAGCAGCGGUCAAAAUUUAUCCUNNNNNNNNNNAGCCGUAGAAUCUAAAGUAUGCCAUGCUGUGUACCGCACCUGAUGUGUGCCUUGACUCAAAGUAUGUUGAGAGGUACAGAGAGUGAUCCAUGAUUGAAUCACUAGCAGCGGUCAAAAUUUAUCCUUAGUAACUGAUGGACUAAGGAAUUUUUCUCGAUUAUGGAGAGGUUAAAGAGUUCGUCGUAAAGGGUUACGUCGAUGCAAGCUUUGACACUAAUCCGAAUAACUAUGAGUAGUGAAACGGAUUCGUAUAGUAGAGUAGAUAUUUGGAGUAUUUCCAAAUAGCACAUAGUAGCAGCAUCUAUAAGAUGACAUAAAGAUUUGUAAAGAACACACGGAUCUGAAAGUUUCAGAACCGUUGACUAAAACCUCUCUCACGAGCAAGACGUGAUCAGACCCCAUAACUAUAUGGGUGUUGGAUUCGUUGGAAUCACAUGGUGAUGUGAACUACAUUAUUGACUCUAGUGCAAGUGGGAGACUGUUGGAAAUAUGCCCUAGAGGCAAUAAGAAAUUAGUUAUUAUUAUAUUUCUUUGUUCAUGAUAAUCGUUUAUUAUCCAUGCUAUAAUUGUAUUGAUUGGAANNNNNNNNNNNNNNNNNNNNNNNNNNNNNNNNNNNNNNNNNNNNNNNNNNNNNNNNNNNNNNNNNNNNNNNNNNNNNNNNNNNNNNNNNNNNNNNNNNNNAAAUGGUUGUUGUGGUUGUUGGGGGAAUGGUUGUGGUUGUAGAGGGAAUGAUUGUUGGGGAAUUAUUUGUUCUGAUUCCUGGGGAAAUGGUUGUUGCGGUUGUAGGGGGGAUGCUUGUUGGGGUCACUGCUGGGGGACUAGUUGGGGUUGGGGAAAUGGCUGUUGAGGUUGCAGAGGCUAUGAUUGUUGGGGUUGCUCGAAAAUUAUUUGUUGUGGUUGUUGGGGAAAUGGUUGUUGUGGUUGUUUGGGGAAUGGUUGUUGUGGUUGCAGAGGGAAUGGUUGUUGUGGUUGCUGGGGAAUUAUUUGUUGCGGUUGCCGCGAGACUGGUUGUUGUGGUUGCUGCACAAUUGGUUGUUGGGGCUGCGGAAAUGGUUGUUGUGGUUGCCAGGGGAAUGGUUGUUGUGGUUGCUGGGGAAAUGGUUGUUCAGGUUGGGGAAAUGGUUGUUGUGGUUGCUGGGGAAAUGGUUGUUGGGGCUGAGGAAAAGGUUCUUGCGGUUGCUGGGGAAAUGGUUGUUGUGGUUGCUGGGGUAUUAUUUGUUGUGGUUGCUGGGUGAAUGGUUCUUGUGGUUGGUAGGGAAUUGGUUGUUGGGGUUGGGGCAAUGGUUGUUGUGGUUGCGAGGGGAAUGGUUGUUGGGUCUGAGGAAAAGGUUGUUGUGGUUGCUGGGGGAAUGGUUGUUGUGGUUGCUCGGGAAUUAUUUGUUGUGGUUGCUGGGGGAAUGGUUGUUGUGGUUGCUGGGGAAUUGGUUCUUGGGGCUGGGGAAAUGGUUGUUGUGGUUGCCACGGGAAUGGUUGUUGGGGCCGAGGAAGAGGUUGUUGUGGUUGUUGGGGGAAUGGUUGUUGUGGUUGUAGGGGGGUUGGUAUUUGAUAUUGGGGAAACAAUUCCUCUGGUAGAUAGGGGAAAUAUUGUUGGGGUGUGGGAAAUGGUUGCUGCACUGGAAAUGGUUGUUGCNN